AGCGUAUUUUGCCCAGGCGGAGCUCGACCGCCACUGGAAAAAAUAAUGCCGCUUCUGGAAAAUCUGAGCGGUGAACACGGGGUCGGGCCAGUCUGUCAUGAGCUGGAUAUUGCUCCG
Molecule: non-coding RNA, 117 nt
Filed under: Pantoea brenneri
Lineage: Bacteria; Pseudomonadati; Pseudomonadota; Gammaproteobacteria; Enterobacterales; Erwiniaceae
Also listed under: 1 other name
Description: ALIL
Rfam family: ALIL pseudoknot
Source: RNAcentral